CCAAACUUGGUCAUUUAGAGGAAGUAAAAGUCGUAACAAGGUAACCGUAGGUGAACCUGCGGUUGGAUCAUUACCGAACAUUUUGAUAAUGGAGGAGAGGCCGAGGAGAGAGGAAAGAGGGGGGAGGCCCGGGGCCCCAGGUCUUGUGCUUGGGAUUACUACCCGGCUGUUCCCGCUUGGAACGACAAACCAUCCUCCUCUGUUUCUGGGUAUCCUAGGCGCUUUCUCUUGAGAUGUGUCUGCGGCAGAUGGGAGACGAGAAACGGGUGCGGCCUUCGGCUGUGGUAACGUGCCUCGGCUCGCCCCUUUUGCCGCUGAAGACUGCGCGUUCCCUCUUAUGGGGCAGCGGUUGUCUUAAUCCUUUCCAAGGGAAAGACCCUCUCUUCUUCCGUGUGGAGAAGAGGAAAUGACGUGAUUGUUGCAAAACAAGCUAAAAACAAAGAACAACUUUUGACAACGGAUCUCUUGGCUCUCGCAUCGAUGAAGAACGCAGC
Molecule: unclassified non-coding RNA, 494 nt
Filed under: uncultured fungus
Lineage: Eukaryota; Fungi
Description: partial contains small subunit ribosomal RNA, internal transcribed spacer 1, and 5.8S ribosomal RNA
Rfam family: Eukaryotic small subunit ribosomal RNA (bases 1-73)
Source: RNAcentral